GACGAACGCUGGCGGCGUGCCUAAUACAUGCCAGUAGAACGCACAGUUUAUACCGUAGCUUGCUACACCAUAAACUGUGAGUUGCGAACGGGUGAGUAACGCGUAGGUAACCUGCCUGGUAGCGGGGGAUAACUAUUGGAAACGAUAGCUAAUACCGCAUAAUAUUAAUUAUUGCAUGAUAAUUGAUUGAAAGAUGCAAUUGCAUCACUACCAGAUGGACCUGCGUUGUAUUAGCUAGUAGGUGAGGUAACGGCUCACCUAGGCGACGAUACAUAGCCGACCUGAGAGGGUGAUCGGCCACACUGGGACUGAGACACGGCCCAGACUCCUACGGGAGGCAGCAGUAGGGAAUCUUCGGCAAUGGACGAAAGUCUGACCGAGCAACGCCGCGUGAGUGAAGAAGGUUUUCGGAUCGUAAAGCUCUGUUGUAAGAGAAGAACGGGUGUGAGAGUGGAAAGUUCACACUGUGACGGUAACUUACCAGAAAGGGACGGCUAACUACGUG
Molecule: ribosomal RNA, 505 nt
Filed under: uncultured bacterium
Lineage: Bacteria
Description: partial 16S ribosomal RNA
Rfam family: Bacterial small subunit ribosomal RNA
Source: RNAcentral